Long non-coding RNA from Manis javanica (Malayan pangolin), 346 nucleotides. RefSeq lists it as uncharacterized. Lineage: Eukaryota; Metazoa; Chordata; Mammalia; Pholidota; Manidae. The record is from RefSeq and is a predicted model, not a curated record.
GUGUGUGUGUGUGUGUGUGUGUUGGGGGGUCACCAUAGCAGGAAACAGAGCAAGGCUCCCGAGGCUGUUUUGCUUCAGUGACUGUCAGCUCAGCUGGAAUGAGAACAUGAUUGCUAGGAUUUAUGCAGCCAUGUUGGACUUUGAGGUGUGAGCCUCACGCCUGGGACAUCAGAGCACCAACAGAGACGGAUCUUUGAUGAUGUGGCCCUACCAGCCUUGGGUCAUGUCCCUGUGGACUUCUUCCAUAUGCUGCUAUGAUUCAAAUAAGCCCAAUAGUCUUUUGAUUCAUCAAGAAAAUGAUAGACUGAGAGGACCAGAGGUUUUCAUCCCAGAUGCACACGGUCCU